Manis javanica (Malayan pangolin) is the source of this 1732-nucleotide long non-coding RNA. RefSeq lists it as uncharacterized. Lineage: Eukaryota; Metazoa; Chordata; Mammalia; Pholidota; Manidae. The record is from RefSeq and is a predicted model, not a curated record.
ACAGAGAACAAUAUUUUAAUUUUGAUGAAGUCCUAUUUAUCAAUUCUUAUUUUCUGGAUCAAGCUUUUUGGUGUCAAGAUGCAUAUCUAAGUGUUCCAGCACUACUUGAAAAGUCUACUCUUUUGUGAUUUUGUCAAAAAUCAGUUGGGCCUAUUUACGUUUUGCCACAAUGUGACCAGACCAUGAUUGCUUGGGAGAAGAUCCUGGAAUGAAUACCACCCACUAAAUGGCUGGUACUUACUAGAAAGGCCUGGUCUGGACCCCCAGGCCAGGAAAUCAUCAGAAUGUUGAAGUAAGAGGUACUUAAAAGUUUCCAGUUAAGGAAAAGAAAGUAAAGAAGGCAGAGAGAGUGGUAGGUGAGGGAGGGAGACAGGGCUGAACCAUAGCUCGUUACUCAGAAAGUGACAUCACUGUUACUUCAACAGUUUCUCUAAAUUUCCCUUACAUUAACUUCCUCUCAGGAAGUGUACGGAAGGCCGAAUGCCUAUUAGCACUGAUUUGUGGGAUCCCUCUUACUAGGUCAACACUCAACUCUUCCAUAGGAUGCCAGGCGAGCAUGAAAGCUAAGGCCUCCACUGUCACUUUUUGGGCACUGAUAACACAAAAUUGCUCAAAGAACCAAGAAAACCUCUAAAGAGAAAUCUAAACAAAACUAAAGGAUUGCUCAUAUAGGAUCAGUUGAAUAAAUUAAGGUACAUUCAUACAAGGGAAUCUUAUACUACUUAUUAAUUAUAUCAAUAAGGUCAUUUCUCAGUGUGCAUUUGGAAAAAUCACUACAAUGAAACAAAAAAGCCCAGUGCAAGACAAUAUGUGUGGCCCUCUGAAGGUAGGGAAGGAGCUCAAAUGUCAUUUUUAUUUAACCUUCAUAACCACAUAUAAUUCUAUUAAUUGGUUAAGAAACCAAAGUUUAUAAAUUGUAGAGUCCAUGGUCUAAAGGAUUGCAAUUUGACUGGAGUCUUCUGAAGCAUUUGAUUGUUAAUUGCAUCCUGUCCCCUCAGUCCUGGGCAUCUGCCAUUCUCAACUCUGUCACUACUCAAAAUGUAACCACUGGGCCAAGAGCCGCAGCAGCCAUGGGCAGCUGUUUAGAAAUGCUUUCCCACCUGGAUUAUUAAACCCAGUCAUUCUUUCUGCCAAAAGUAAAGCUCCCCAUGCUGUUUUUGCAUGGAAUACAUGGAUAAUGUUUAGGGGUCAAUGUGAAAGUCUAUAGAGUGAAAAAGAAUUUAGGAUUGCAUACUGCUUAAGACCUGCAAUUCAUUGCUGCAUGAAAACACAUAAACCUGUGGGGACAAAAAUAAUUAAAGGUAUAAAUGUAAUAUACAAAAGAGGACUGAUCUUAAUUAAGUCAUUAUCUCAUGGCCUCUCAUUACUUCAUGGCCUAGCAUUUCUGUCCAUGCUUAUCUAUGAUGGAUAAGGACUUAAAUAAAAUCUAUUUCAGCCUGAAAAAGGAAAUAAAGGCCAGGUCCUGUCCCAGACUUAAUGAAUCAGACUCUGCAAGUCAGCAAGAUCGCCCAGACAGGGUUUAGGUUUAAGUCUGAGAAGGGCUCCUGUGGGUGACGGCAACCUCAGGGGUGUUUUUAUUGCUCUAUUGUGUCAGGUUCCAGGGUUCAGGUCACUAUCAAAAACAGACACAAAGAUGAAAUCUUUCUCAUGCGUCUAUGCAGAGUUUUUGAAAUGACACAGAUAAGGGUGGAAAGUGAUCUGGGAAUGACCCAAGGCGUCGCCAGGGUACACA